This 857-nucleotide long non-coding RNA is filed under the name Mus musculus (house mouse). RNAcentral's name for it is "RIKEN cDNA 4930404O17 gene". Lineage: Eukaryota; Metazoa; Chordata; Mammalia; Rodentia; Muridae. The record is from RNAcentral.
CCAGCUGUCUGGGGUUCAGCCAGGGUGUGGGCCUCUUGACCUCACCCCUUUAUCCUAGCCUCUCACUAUACCCUCUGUUGGCUUGGAAGUCUGAUGACUGCUCUCUGGUUCAGCUCCUCUACCGGACACGUCUGUGUUAGAGUCUCCAGCACUUACUACACACAUAUAAAGAACACACAGGAGCUCCAGCUAUCUGUCUCCAAUGGCCUCCAGGAGUUAACACACUGCUUAUCUGAGUUCCCCUCUGCUUGCUGCUAGUGCAGCUUCUCAGGGUUAGGCACUAAAGAUAGCUUCAUCUAUUUUUAACUCUCUCAGCCAUAAAGAAUAUUUUUCUUGGCAUACAUUCUCUAUUCAGGGCUAAGUCCCCCACCAUGACCAUCAGUCUAUAGGAUCAGUCUUGAAGUUUCUAUUAAGCAUUUCUGAUUCCUGAGGUCAUAUGGAAACUUGUCUUCUCUCAGGUAAGCUUUACUUUUUCUCUUUAUAUUGACAGAAACAAUAUAAAAGGAUAAAAAAUUUAUUUGGCCUAUAGCAAUGUUGUAAUACACCAUUACAGACACUUCAAAUCAAAGUGGGGACUUGAAGCAGUUAGUUACAGCCACAGUCAAGAGCAGAGAGAGAAUAGACACAUACUCCCUAGCACUCAGCUUGCUUUCUCUAUUUCUGUACAGUCCAGGAUGCAGUCAUCAAAUAUUGCUAUAGCCAGGAGAGACCACUUUAUACCAAUUAGCCUAAUUAGGAUAAUAUCUCAAAAACAUGACAACAGUUUACCUGAUCAAGCCAAUCCCGUAUUGGGAAUUUCUUUCUCAAGUGAUUCUAGAUUGUGUUAAGUUGACAAUUAAAACUAAUUCUCACACUUG